Molecule: non-coding RNA, 121 nt
Organism: Populus trichocarpa (black cottonwood)
Lineage: Eukaryota; Viridiplantae; Streptophyta; Magnoliopsida; Malpighiales; Salicaceae
Source: Rfam
UAGCAGAAAAAUUUGUGUUUGGAAAAUGGUGAGGUAAUUAGGCAGCGGCCAGACAACCGUAGGGAUGGUAUCCACAGAUGGCGGGUAAUCCCGCUUUGUCUACUGAUUCCAUCUCACAUUU